UUUUUUUUUUUUUUUACUGUAAAAUGUGUUUUGACCCGAACAAGAAUGUUGCUGUCUGUAGUGUCACUCCAUCAUCUGAGGAGGAACCACAGCUUUUCUUUUUGUUCCUUUAGCUAUAUAUAUUCUGUAUAUCUAUAUAUGUAUGAGUAUAAAUAUAAAUAUAUAGUAGAUACAUAAUAUCUAUAGGGAUGUGUACAGUGUGAGGAUGGUUGCUGUGUAUAUACUGUUAUGUAACAAUAGCUGCCAAAGCCAAACUGUGGUUUGACUUAUAACCACAUUAUUUAAUAUCCGCUUAAAUUGGGUUGACACUACAAGAUUUUAUGCUUUACGUUUACGGUUUAUCUUUUUCAUAACCAGUUUUCACUUCAUUCUUUAAAGGUAAUUUCAUUUUAGCGCAUGUACUUUUCUUUACUGUUGAUGACCUUGGUAGCACAGCCAGAUUGGGCCCAGAGGCUUUUCUGGCAGGUUUGGCUAAUAUUGGUGAAACAUUUUCCCCAUCCUAAUGGUAGUGAAAGGAGGAAAAGCAAAGCACGUAAAGGUGAGAUACUGUAGAGCCGUGGCCAAAGAGGUGUCAACUCAUCAUCACUUACAUGUAGAUAGCAAUGGUUUUGUGCUGCUUCUUUUUUUCUUUUCUCUUUUUUUUUAAACUCCGCUCUUAUAUUUAGACUCAUCCCCAGUUCCAGUUCUGGAUGGAGGGGAUCCUCGUGUAAUCACAAUCCAGAAAGAUGUAACACUACCAUUUAUGUAUUUAACUUCCUCAUUUCAGCACUCCCGUGAGUUUACCUCAACUCAAAUAAACCUGACAUGGUUUUGAAAUUGGCUUAUAUUUUUUAUGCACUUCAGGGUUUUCUUUAUAAAUGCUCUCAGCUGUGGUUAUCAGGAUUAAACGUUCUUCCAUUCAUUUUACAUGAUGGCUCUUUCGCCUCAUGUCUCCAUUAAUUUUUUUCCCCCCGUGGCCUGAUCCCUAGUAAAGAAAACAUACAUACGAUAAAGAUCUUUAUUGGAAAAUAUAGAUCUGAGUUAACGGUUCUGCAUUAUGCGUCACUGCUUAAAGUUUGUGUAUUCACAACUGUAUUUUAUGUUACUGUUUAAUUUUUUUUAUUUCCACCAUAGAUUCUUUGUAGAAAGGAAAGGGAAUGUUUGUUGUACCCCUCCAUGGGGCUGAAAUAGUUAAAGAUUUGUCAGUGUAAAAUGAGAUCAAAUUCAUGUUGUGUUACUUUGUGUGUGAAUAUUAGAAGUCAGAUUAGAUUUGAGUUGUCCCUUAAAUUAUUGCUGUUACAAUUUUUACUAUUAUUAUUAUUACUGAGGUUGAAGCAUUAUUGAUUGGUUGCGACACUAGUCAAGUAGCCCCCCUGCACUCUGGGACUGAUCUGUACAUGCUGGAUGUAGAAUGCAGCUAACCUGCAAGUCCCUGACUACAUCCUGUAAACACUUUGACAACCGGAACCUGUUCAGGCUACAUCCUAAACUCUGUACCUUUAUAAUCUUUGGAUAAAAAAAAAUCAUGAUGCUGCUUUUAUAUACAUAGUUCAUAUUUCAAAUUUGUUUUCCAGAUUGUAAGUACUCCUGAGGAUUGGUGGACUCAGAAACCCUGAUUAGCAGCAACCCAAAGCCUUUCAGCAUUAUAAAGAAUUAACAUACCAAAUUCCCUGAGAAGUGUCUGUCUGGAUUUUUUGAAUCAGAUUGUCAAGGUUGACGUAUUUGUCAGCCUUUUUGACCCAUCUGACAUCUUGGUCGUCUGCAUGUCAGCCGCAGAAAUGUCCCUUCAUAUAAAAUUUGGAACUUCUCUGAUGUAUGUAACUACUGACUGCACAUACUGCAUGACACCAGUUCAGUAAUAACUGCAUGUGUUGAUCAUGUAACAGCUGUAUCACACACACACAUACAUGCACGCAUGCACGCACAAAUACUCCUCAAACGAUGUUACUGUCAGACCUGUCAUAUGUAAAUGUGUAAUGUCUCUUUUGGACACAGAGAGCGUGAAUGUGUGAUGAUGGAAUUUGACAAUAAAUGAUUUGUACCACUUG
Molecule: long non-coding RNA, 2027 nt
Organism: Etheostoma spectabile (orangethroat darter)
Lineage: Eukaryota; Metazoa; Chordata; Actinopteri; Perciformes; Percidae
Exons: 2
Source: RefSeq, a predicted model, not a curated record